RNAcentral lists this ribosomal RNA (180 nucleotides) under uncultured Glomeromycotina. Its description in RNAcentral is "partial small subunit ribosomal RNA". The record is from RNAcentral. Lineage: Eukaryota; Fungi; Glomeromycota.
GGCUCGGCCGGGCGGUCCUCCGUAAGGUGCGUACUGUCUGGCCGGGCCUUACCUCUUGGUGAGGCGGCAUGCCCUUCACUGGGUGUGUCGCGGAACCAGGACUUUUACCUUGAGAAAAUUAGAGUGUUCAAAGCAGGCCUACGCCUGAAUACGUUAGCAUGGAAUAAUGAAAUAGGACGU